UGGGGAAUAUUGGACAAUGGGCGAAAGCCUGAUCCAGCCAUGCCGCGUGUGUGAAGAAGGUCUUCGGAUUGUAAAGCACUUUAAGUUGGGAGGAAGGGCAGUAAGCGAAUACCUUGCUGUUUUGACGUUACCUACAGAAUAAGCACCGGCUAACUCUGUGCCAGCAGCCGCGGUAAUACAGAGGGUGCAAGCGUUAAUCGGAAUUACUGGGCGUAAAGCGCGCGUAGGUGGUUCGUUAAGUUGAAUGUGAAAGCCCCGGGCUCAACCUGGGAACUGCAUCCAAAACUGGCGAGCUAGAGUAGGGCAGAGGGUAGUGGAAUUUCCUGUGUAGCGGUGAAAUGCGUAGAUAUAGGAAGGAACACCAGUGGCGAAGGCGACCACCUGGGAUCAUACUGACACUGAGGUGCGAAAGCGUGGGGAGCAAACAGG
This 429-nucleotide ribosomal RNA is filed under the name Pseudomonadota bacterium. RNAcentral describes it as "Proteobacteria bacterium partial 16S ribosomal RNA". It matches the Rfam family "Bacterial small subunit ribosomal RNA", at positions 355 to 776 of the family's 1533-position model. The record is from RNAcentral. Lineage: Bacteria; Pseudomonadati; Pseudomonadota.